RNAcentral lists this ribosomal RNA (372 nucleotides) under uncultured organism. Its description in RNAcentral is "bacterial SSU rRNA". It matches the Rfam family "Bacterial small subunit ribosomal RNA", at positions 526 to 896 of the family's 1533-position model. The record is from RNAcentral.
CGGGGGGGGCAAGCGUUGUUCGGAAUUACUGGGCGUAAAGGGUGCGUAGGCGGCUCUCUAAGUCGGAUGUGAAAACUCUGGGCUCAACCCAGAGCCUGCAUCCGAAACUGGAGGGCUAGGGUUCUGGAGGGGAAAGCGGAAUUCCUGGUGUAGCGGUGAAAUGCGUAGAUAUCAGGAGGAACACCGGUGGCGAGGGCGGCUUUCUGGACAGAUACCGACGCUGAGGCACGAAAGCUAGGGGAGCAAACAGGAUUAGAUACCCUGGUAGUCCUAGCCCUAAACUAUGGAUACUUGCUGUGGGGGGGAUUGAAGCCCCUUGUGGCGAAGCUAACGCAUUAAGUAUCCCGCCUGGGGAGUACGGUCGCAAGGCUG